CCUACGGGAGGCAGCAGUGGGGAAUUUUGGACAAUGGGCGCAAGCCUGAUCCAGCAAUGCCGCGUGCAGGAUGAAGGCCUUCGGGUUGUAAACUGCUUUUGUACGGAACGAAACGGUCCUUUCUAAUACAAGGGGCUAAUGACGGUACCGUAAGAAUAAGCACCGGCUAACUACGUGCCAGCAGCCGCGGUAAUACGUAGGGUGCGAGCGUUAAUCGGAAUUACUGGGCGUAAAGCGUGCGCAGGCGGUUAUAUAAGACAGAUGUGAAAUCCCCGGGCUCAACCUGGGACCUGCAUUUGUGACUGCAUAGCUAGAGUACGGUAGAGGGGGAUGGAAUUCCGCGUGUAGCAGUGAAAUGCGUAGAUAUGCGGAGGAACACCGAUGGCGAAGGCAAUCCCCUGGACCUGUACUGACGCUCAUGCACGAAAGCGUGGGGAGCAAACAGGAUUAGAUACCCUGGUAGUCCACGCCCUAAACGAUGUCAACUGGUUGUUGGGUCUUCACUGACUCAGUAACGAAGCUAACGCGUGAAGUUGACCGCCUGGGGAGUACGGCCGCAAGGUUGAAACGUCAAAUGAAAUUGACGG
RNAcentral lists this ribosomal RNA (587 nucleotides) under uncultured bacterium. RNAcentral describes it as "bacterial SSU rRNA". It matches the Rfam family "Bacterial small subunit ribosomal RNA", at positions 338 to 916 of the family's 1533-position model. The record is from RNAcentral.